RNAcentral lists this ribosomal RNA (484 nucleotides) under uncultured bacterium. RNAcentral describes it as "bacterial SSU rRNA". It matches the Rfam family "Bacterial small subunit ribosomal RNA", at positions 30 to 505 of the family's 1533-position model. The record is from RNAcentral.
AUUGAACGCUGGCGGCAUGCCUUACACAUGCAAGUCGAACGGCAGCACGGGAGCAAUCCUGGUGGCGAGUGGCGAACGGGUGAGUAAUAUAUCGGAACGUGCCCAGUCGUGGGGGAUAACGUAGCGAAAGCUACGCUAAUACCGCAUACGAUCUAUGGAUGAAAGCGGGGGAGUCGCAAGACCUCGCGCGAUUGGAGCGGCCGAUAUCAGAUUAGCUAGUUGGUGGGGUAAAAGGCUCACCAAGGCGACGAUCUGUAGCUGGUCUGAGAGGACGACCAGCCACACUGGAACUGAGACACGGUCCAGACUCCUACGGGAGGCAGCAGUGGGGAAUUUUGGACAAUGGGCGCAAGCCUGAUCCAGCAAUGCCGCGUGCAGGAUGAAGGCCUUCGGGUUGUAAACUGCUUUGUACGGAACGAAACGGUGAGCUCUAAUAAAGACUUGCUAAUGACGGUACCGUAAGAAUAAGCACCGGCUAACUACG